GAUGAACGCUGGCGGCGUGCCUAAUACAUGCAAGUCGAGCGAACAGACGAGGAGCUUGCUCCUCUGACGUUAGCGGCGGACGGGUGAGUAACACGUGGAUAACCUACCUAUCAGACUGGGAUAACUUCGGGAAACCGGAGCUAAUACCGGAUAAUCUAUUGUACCGCAUGGUUCAAUAGUGAAAGACGGUUUUGCUGUAACUUAUAGAUGGAUCCGCGCCGCAUUAGCUAGUUGGUAAGGUAACGGCUUACCAAGGCAACGAUGCGUAGCCGACCUGAGAGAGUGAUCGGCCACACUGGAGCUGAGACACGGUCCAGACGCCUACGGGAGGCAGCAGUAGGGAAUCUUCCGCAAUGGGCGAAAGCCUGACGGAGCAACGCCGCGUGAGUGAUGAAGGUCUUCGGAUCGUAAAACUCUGUUAUUAGGUAAGAACAAAUGUGUAAGUAACUGUGCACGUCUUGACGGUACCUAGUCAGAAAGCCACGGCUAACUACGUG
This 497-nucleotide ribosomal RNA is filed under the name uncultured bacterium. RNAcentral's name for it is "partial 16S ribosomal RNA". It matches the Rfam family "Bacterial small subunit ribosomal RNA", at positions 28 to 507 of the family's 1533-position model. The record is from RNAcentral.